This 241-nucleotide long non-coding RNA is filed under the name Mytilus galloprovincialis (Mediterranean mussel). Lineage: Eukaryota; Metazoa; Mollusca; Bivalvia; Mytilida; Mytilidae. The record is from RNAcentral.
UAACUCUCAUAUGGAAUCUCUAUACGGCUUCGGUCCAAAGGAAUAUCCUAAUCCUGAAGAAGUAACGAGCAAUUUGGUAAAAUAAAUUUGUCGUAAUCUUUUACGGUUGCGAAGGAGUAGUGGCCACAAGAAAAACAGUGUUUGGGGAGAUAACUCUUACAACGUAAAGUAUUUUGUUACGCAGUUGUAAAAUUUUAAAGCGUAUAAACUAUACACAUCAUAUUCCAAAUAUCUAAGCGAC